Molecule: long non-coding RNA, 3210 nt
Organism: Chlorocebus sabaeus (green monkey)
Lineage: Eukaryota; Metazoa; Chordata; Mammalia; Primates; Cercopithecidae
Source: RefSeq, a predicted model, not a curated record
UGUGAAUGUGAGUGAGUUCUCAUUCUUAGUUUCUGCAAAAACUGGCUGUUGAAAGGAGUCUGGCACUUCCUCCUUUCUUGCUUCCUCUCUGUCAUGUGAUGCCUUCUCCACUUCACUUUCUCCCAUUGAGGAGAAGCUUUCGGAGGCCCUCACCAGGUGCAAAUGCUGAUACCAUGCUUGAUACUGAUACCAUGCUUCUUGUACAACCUGCAGAACUCUGCCCUGUAGGAAAUUGCCUUCAUGUGAUGAUUGCCUUUAAGUACAGUUUCAAGAAAGCUAUUCCAGACCAGAAAUACCAGAAAGCCUCAUGGACCAGAUUAAAAUGCUUGGAUUACAUGGUUUAUUAAAUCAACUUAAAAACACACAGCAAGAAACAAGUGGAAAGAGUUAAGAAAUGGAUGACAUUAAUCUAAAAUUUAUAAGAAAAUGUAAAAGUUUAGAAAUGGGCAAGGCAAGCCUGAGGAAGAAGAAGAAAAAAAACUAGAGGACUUGCACUAAACAUAAAGAUCUCUUAAAAACUAUAAUUAAUUAUAUUCUUAUGUGAUGCAUUAUAUUUAGUAGUUAAGACAGUGUGGCUCAAAUAUAGAUUAAAAUUACUAAUGGCACAGAAUAGAGAGUUCAGAAACAGAUUCACCUGAUUUAUGAAAAAUGUGAUAUUGCGGUGCAGUGAGAAAUGGAUGGGACCAUUGGAUGUUCACAUGGAAAAAGCAUGUAUCAACUUCUUCCUCACAAAAAUAAAUUUCAGAACAAUUACAUAUCAAUGUGAGAGAUAAACCUAUAGGGCUUUUAGAAUCAUCAAUGUUAUAUAUGUGAAUAAGUUUGGUUUUUUUAAUAGUAGAGUUUAAUAGGUAAAGAGUAGAAUAACCCCAGGCAGAUGUUUUUUGAGAGAUUAAAAGGUGUCAGGGAUGGGAAGCCAGAUACUCCUGGGCGACAAGUUCAUGGAAAUAAUUAAUGUGAUUUUGUUACUGGGAAGAGCAGAGUCCUUGGUUCCUAGACUGACUUGCAAGAAAGAAUUCCACCAAGAGACCACUUAGCCCAAAAAGAGAAUUUAUUGAAGCAAAAUUAGAGCAGAGCGUUCAUUUAGAGAGACAGUACACUCUAAAAGAUGGGGCAUAGUGGGCUACUCACAGAGAAUGAACCAGCAGUAGCCCCAAGAGUUUUGCACUAGGUUUUCAUGACGGAUUUUUUCUUGAAAUUCUCAUCUCUGUCUUAAGUCUCCACCUUUUUCCUUCAUCUAGUUUUUCCUGCUGCUGCCUUAAGUCCCUGCGUUUUCCCUGCCUAGUUCCUGCCUCAGAUUGGUGGGAUCUCUCUUACUAUUAGUUGGCAUGCAUGUGUGGACCUGGUGUUGGACACAAAUUCUACCUAAGGGCUACAUUGCUCAUUACCAUCACCCCAGGAAGGCUGUAUAGCAGUUAAAUCUGUACUUUUUAUGCCUGCAUAUCUCUUAGGAAUUUCACUUCACCCUCUUUCCCUCUUUAUCAGCAUGUAGCUAGCUACAUUCCGACAGGUUAAUUGCAGGGUGGGUGAUUUCUGGGCGAUUCUUCCCACAUAAGUAUUUCCCCAUCUCUUUGCUUAUAUCCAGCACACGUGUUUCGGGUGAUCCCUGGGGUGUGAGAUUUUCCAGACCUCCCUUUUCCUCAGUGACUCCCCUACUACUCUCGCUGCUUACAUCUAGCUAUCUGCCUACUAUGACAAUUUCUUCCUACCACAAUUAAUAUGAAAGAGAAUUCAUUCAUUCUUUCAUUCAUUCACUCACAUAAAAAAUACUACCUGAGUGACAACUAUGUCCCAAGCAUGGUUCUAGGUGCUGAGGAUAUAGUAAUGCACAAGGCAGUUAGUUUCUCUUUUCAUGGCUCAUUUAUGAGGCAGACAUGGAGGCAACAGAAAGCAAUCCAUAAAUAGAUAAAUAAAUAAAUGAUGAAGAAAUAAAAUUCAGUAGUGAAAUUGAGACAAUGAAUCAACACAUUCAGUGAUGAAACAGAGAGUGACCAGUAGUUCUUACAGAUGGAGUGGUCACAGAAGGCCUCUCUGGGGACAUAGGAAGUCACCUGUCACCUGAAUGGCAAGAAUCCCGCUGCUAGCUAUGUACCCACAUGGUGUUAUGAAACGUAUUGGUUUUCAUGCAUGGAUUCUGGCUUACAACUCCCAAAGCCCUUGUUACAGUCUUUUGUUACAAUGUUGGGUAUGUUAGGCCUCAGAAGUGGGCCUCUGACCUUCCUCUGCCCUCCUUUCACUUGAUCCAAAACAAGACUCUAAUCUUAGCUUGCCUUUCUGAUGUGGGUCUUAAGGCCCUCCCAUGAGGGGAGUCCCACCCUGUACCCUGGGGGAAGGAAUGCUGACAUCAUGAAAAUCUAAGGGCACAGGGCUCAGAGAGUUUUUGGAUACCUGCAGGGUGGUGUGCCCAGGGAGGGCAUGGAAGCUCCACACCCCUUCCCCUACACCUCAUCCCACACGUCUCUUUAUUUGUAUUCUUUGCAAUAUCCUUUAUAGUAAACCAGUAAAUAUAAGUCAGUGUUUCCUUGAAUUUUUGGAGCUACUUCAGCAAAUUAAUUGAACUCAAAGAGAGGGUCGUGGGAACCCCAACUUGAAGCUGGUUGGUCGGAAGUUACAGAGGCCCAGACUGGUGUGGUGGGGGAAGGACUCGGGGACUGAGCCCUCAACUUGUAGGAUAUGACACUAUCUCUGGGUAGCGUUGAACUGAAUUAACAGCUGAUGUCUGCUCCCUGGUGUGCGGGGAAAAGAAUCGCACACAUAUGGUCACAGAAGUCUCCUGUGUUGAUGACCAUUGUGGUGUGAGAGUAGAGGAAAAAUAUGAUUAAAGAGUUUUCUCUACACACCCCAGAAGAUAGGAAAUCAGUAUAUCAGAGAGAUAUCUACACUCCACUGUUUUUUGCAGCAGUUUUCACAAUAGCCAAGAUUUGGAAGCAACCUAAGUGUCCAUCAAGAGAUGAACGGAUAAAGAAAAUGCACAUUUACACAAGGGAGCACUAUUCAGUCAUUAAAAAGAAUGAGAUCCUGUCAUCUGUAACCACAUGGAUGAAAUUGGAGGUCAUCAUGUGAAGUGAAAUAAGCCAGACACAAAAAGACAAACUUCGCAUGUUCUCACUUACUUGUGGGACCUAAAAAUUAAAACAAUUGAACUCAUAGGGAUAGAGAGGGUAGAAGGAUAGUUACCAGAGGCUGGGAAGAAUGAGGGGGGAUUGUGGGAGG